AUUGGCCUUUAUAGAGCAAAAGAAGAACGUUUAAGAUAGAUAUGCUAUUUUGUUCUAUGUCUUCCGCAUCUGUGGCGGAAGGUGGCCGAGCUAUAGCGGWGUUUGUCAGACCGUGAGACAUCCCGAAAACCUCUGUAGKGUCCGAACGGUUUGACCUAGAAACUAAUAUGACCGCUCUAUGGAAAGAUGAGACUCUCGCGAACACGAUGGCYUUCUCCACACAAGUGUCARGGGACUCGUCUGAAGGAUCCAAAGCCUGUAUUAGGGGCACUGAUAGACGUGGCCCAACACCUGGGAAACCUGAGGUUCAAGAUAUGAGAGAAGGUGAAAUACACCCCAGUGACUCUGAACCUCAACACUGCGUCCCCAUGGCUCUCUCUCUCAAAUGGGUUCUGGCUCCAUGGCCCUGAGGGAUGGGGGCCAGUAC
This is a non-coding RNA of Salvelinus sp. IW2-2015, 427 nucleotides long. The record is from RefSeq and is a predicted model, not a curated record. NCBI's taxonomy places the organism in Eukaryota, Metazoa, Chordata, Actinopteri, Salmoniformes, Salmonidae.